UGGUGGAGCUAGACGGGAUCGAACCGUCGACCUCUUGCAUGCCAUGCAAGCGCUCUCCCAGCUGAGCUAUAGCCCC
RNAcentral lists this transfer RNA (76 nucleotides) under Yersinia mollaretii ATCC 43969. RNAcentral describes it as "tRNA-Ala". The record is from RNAcentral. Lineage: Bacteria; Pseudomonadati; Pseudomonadota; Gammaproteobacteria; Enterobacterales; Yersiniaceae. RNAcentral also lists the same sequence under 3 other names.